Molecule: unclassified non-coding RNA, 229 nt
Filed under: Drosophila erecta
Lineage: Eukaryota; Metazoa; Arthropoda; Insecta; Diptera; Drosophilidae
Description: GG21836
Source: RNAcentral
GGUUGGGAAACACCACUACUCAAGGUCCAUGGUGGGGAAACACCACUACUCAAGGUCCAUGGUGGGGAAAUAACUCUACUCAAGGUCCAUGGUGGGGAAACAACUCAACCGAAGGUCCGUGGUGGGGAAACAAUUCAACCGAAGGUCCAUGGUGGGGAAACAACUCAACCGAAGGUCCAUGGUGGGGAAACAACUCAACCGAAGGUCCAUGGUGGGGAAACAACUCUAC